Molecule: long non-coding RNA, 293 nt
Filed under: Elaeis guineensis (African oil palm)
Lineage: Eukaryota; Viridiplantae; Streptophyta; Magnoliopsida; Arecales; Arecaceae
Description: long non-coding RNA (EGUI_LNC011214)
Source: RNAcentral
CUCCAAAAAAAAUAAAAAAAAUAAAAAUCAGGCUAUCUUUUGUAUAAAUUUAUGUAAGAUUAUACCAAAAUUUUAAUUUAAACUUUUUUUGCAUACUUUUUCAACUUAGAAGGGAGAAAUUUUUCUUCUAAGUAACUCAAUGCUUACUAAGUUUUCUAGUUUAACUAUCUACAUUUCCGUCCAUGUUAUCUAUAAGUAGUGAUCACAAUUUCUACGUGCUUCCUUCUUUUUCAAUCAAUAUUUUACAAAGAAGCAAUAGGAUAUGAUGCUAUAUUUAUUAGUUUGCCCACCAA